This 440-nucleotide ribosomal RNA is filed under the name uncultured bacterium. RNAcentral describes it as "partial 16S ribosomal RNA". It matches the Rfam family "Bacterial small subunit ribosomal RNA", at positions 338 to 795 of the family's 1533-position model. The record is from RNAcentral.
CCUACGGGAGGCAGCAGUGGGGAAUAUUGCACAAUGGGGGAAACCCUGAUGCAGCGACGCCGCGUGAGUGAAGAAGUAAUUCGGUAUGUAAAACUCUAUCAGCAGGGAAGAAAAUGACGGUACCUGAGUAAGAAGCCCCGGCUAACUACGUGCCAGCAGCCGCGGUCAUACGUCGGGGGCGAGCGUUAUCCGGAUUCACUGGGUGUAACGGGAGCGUAGACGGCCAUGCAAGUCAGGGGUGAAAGCCCGGGGCCUAACCCCGGGACUGCGCUGGCAACUGCAGGGCUGGAGUGCGGGAGGGGCAGGCGGAAUUCCUGGUGUAGCGGUGAAAUGCGUAGAUAGCAGGAGGAACACCGGCGGCGAAGGCGGCCUGCUGGACCGCAACUGACGUUGAGGCGCGAAAGCGUGGGGAGCGAACAGGAUUAGAUACCCGAGUAGUC